GAUGAACGCUGGCGGCGUGCCUAAUACAUGCAAGUCGAGCGAACAGACGAGGAGCUUGCUCCUCUGACGUUAGCGGCGGACGGGUGAGUAACACGUGGAUAACCUACCUAUAAGACUGGGAUAACUUCGGGAAACCGGAGCUAAUACCGGAUAAUAUAUUGAACCGCAUGGUGCAAUAGUGAAAGACGGUUUUGCUGUCACUUAUAGAUGGAUCCGCGCCGCAUUAGCUAGUUGGUAAGGUAACGGCUUACCAAGGCGACGAUGCGUAGCCGACCUGAGAGGGUGAUCGGCCACACUGGAUCUGAGACACGGUCCAGACUCCUACGGGAGGCAGCAGUAGGGAAUCUUCCGCAAUGGGCGAAAGCCUGACGGAGCAACGCCGCGUGAGUGAUGAAGGUCUUCGGAUCGUAAAGCUCUGUUAUUAGUGAAGAACAAAUGUGUAAGUAACUAUGCACGUCUUGACGGUACCUAAUCAGAAAGCCCCGGCUAACUACGUG
Molecule: ribosomal RNA, 497 nt
Filed under: uncultured bacterium
Lineage: Bacteria
Description: partial 16S ribosomal RNA
Rfam family: Bacterial small subunit ribosomal RNA
Source: RNAcentral